RNAcentral lists this ribosomal RNA (292 nucleotides) under uncultured bacterium. RNAcentral's name for it is "partial 16S ribosomal RNA". It matches the Rfam family "Bacterial small subunit ribosomal RNA", at positions 775 to 1067 of the family's 1533-position model. The record is from RNAcentral.
GGAUUAGAUACCCUGGUAGUCCACGCAGUAAACUAUGAGUGCUAGUUGUCGGGGUCUUAGACUUCGGUGGCGAAGCUAACGCGUUAAGCACUCCGCCUGGGGACUACGAUCGCAAGAUUAAAACUCAAAGGAAUUGACGGGGACCCGCACAAGCAGUGGAUCAUGUGGUUUAAUUCGAUGCUACACGAAAAACCUUACCAACUCUUGAAUCCCAUUGACCAGUAAAGAAAUUUACUUUUGGAGCAAUCCACAGUGGAGACAGGUGUUGCAUGGCUGUCGUCAGCUCGUGCCG